AAAGAGCAUCCCUGACGGGGGCUCAUCCGCCUUCCCGUAAACUGCAGUUCUAGGCAUUCUCAUUGUACCUUUAUCUGUAAACCCUGCGUUUUAGUUUCGGUGGAUGGUUCACAAGAAAAUCAAGGUAACCUGAAACAAAACACAAGACUAAGGAGCGCUUUUAAGCUCGAAGAUUAAAAUGAAAAUGAAGUAUCUGUCGUUCAGUUAAUUAGAUGGAAAUCAUUGAUUCCCUAGAAACAGCGUUUACGGUGACUCUCCUGACUUUGUGGUUAUCAUUCCCUUCCUUUUCUUGGGUUUAACCAGACCUGGUUGUAUUAUUUAAAAUAUGCUGCGUUUUCUUCUUCUGUUUUGUUUGUUUGUUUGUUUGUUUGUUUGAACAGAAGCAAGCACAAACCUAAAUGGGUGUAACCCUGGGUCAGUCCGGUUCUUAGCUCCUCGGGAUUGUGGAAGGUUCCAAGGAGAAAGUAGGAGACAUGGAGAAUAAGUGUGAGGGGUAUCCAAGAGUUAUAACCUGGUCAGAGUGGACUGCUCUCUUGUUUGUAGUUUCCCUGACUUUCCUUCAGCUCUUAGGAGUAGCUCAGAGUCAAACUCCUAUAAGUUAAAGUGAGAGCCAUCCCUAAACCCAAACAGGCAUGGAAGAGUAGGUGCACAGCUAACUCUCAAGUCAAGAGCAGAGAGCAACCUGCUCCCCCGCCCACAUGCAUUCUUGCAUUCUUUGUCAGGUUAAGGUAAGUAUGCAGUAGUACCCAGCGACUGCCCUGACCUCACAGUGGACCCUAAAACCAGUCAAGCAUCAGGGCUCAGAUUUCCUGGAGACAAGGUGGGAAGAGGACAGGUUGAGCAAGCACACACAUAAAUUUAGAGUGUAGGACAUGGUGUGGGAUAACUGGCUUGGCUUCUGAAACAAGUUAAUGACAUU
Molecule: long non-coding RNA, 919 nt
Filed under: Mus musculus (house mouse)
Lineage: Eukaryota; Metazoa; Chordata; Mammalia; Rodentia; Muridae
Description: long non-coding RNA chr7:92778504-92779423
Source: RNAcentral